GGGUCUUGGUUUCAUUAUUUUUAUGUUUUUGGCAAAAUAAAGCUUCAUUACUGACAUAUGAACAUAAUAUAGACCAGCCUUUACAUCAAUAAAAUCAUUUCAGCUAAAACUCAUUAUGAUGAUAGCUUGUUUUUCCCAGACGCUGAGAUAUAUGCACUUGGAAAUUUGCUGAAUCCAGGAGUGCAUACUAAAAGAUGCUACCUAAGCUGGGCGUCAUUUUAUACGACAAAAUGCCACCUAAACUGGCCCACAAUUUAUAUGUAAA
RNAcentral lists this unclassified non-coding RNA (265 nucleotides) under Hevea brasiliensis (rubber tree). The record is from RNAcentral. Lineage: Eukaryota; Viridiplantae; Streptophyta; Magnoliopsida; Malpighiales; Euphorbiaceae.